CCGUCCACAGUAGCCAUUGACAACGAAUAAUUCGCCAUGUUAGCAAUGGGCUCAAUUUGACUGAAAGCUCAUAAAGAAACGGAUGGAGAUUUCGGAUUAACAGAGAGCGUUAGCUGCUGAAGGUCCUCCAGAGCCUCAAGUACGAGGCCUCAAGAAUCAAAAGUUGAUUCUUUACAAUCUGCGUAUAAUGCUUCUAGCUGCUUGCAUUCUCAUCUGUUUUCAGACAAGCGCUCCCAGUAAGGAUCAGCUACUGCUGCUAAUCAAUCAGGCGAUCCCAUACUAAGAAAGAUACUUGACUUCUAUCAACGACAGAUAUAACGGCUGAUGGAGCAGGCACCUCAGUUCAUAUUGUACCCACCAUGUCACGUGUGAUCUGGGAGCAAAACCUGCGAGCGAUGUCGUAUGUCUCUGAUUGGACAGCUGCUUCAACCUAGGCUACCCCUGAAGCCCAGUGUGACGCAGAACGUACUACCACUUUGAUGGCUGAUGCGCUAUAAGCACACAAUGCCCUAAUAUAGUUACAUAGCGAGUUGAUAUAUACAAAUAAUAGUGAUGAUAGGAUUGAUAGGAACAGUGCGCGUACCUCUUAUAUAGCACGAUUUUAAGCAUUAAACAAGCAAAUCUUGGAAGAAUCGUCCAGAGCUUACUCCAUACCUCAUUUUACAGCUUAUUGUUUAUUAAGGUUAUUUCACUGAUUUCCGCGCAUUAUAGAAAUGCGCGUUACUAACAUCUCAAGUUUGAGUAAAUGGCAAUCUGUGGAAUUAAAGAAAAUCCUGUUCAA
Varroa destructor (honeybee mite) is the source of this 781-nucleotide long non-coding RNA. RefSeq lists it as uncharacterized. The record is from RefSeq and is a predicted model, not a curated record. Lineage: Eukaryota; Metazoa; Arthropoda; Arachnida; Mesostigmata; Varroidae.